UGCUCUGGAAGUUUGGUGGUGUCGCGAUCCUCCGGUAAUGGAUGGUUGACGCCCCUCCCAGUGAUUCUUAGAACAGAAAUUUGGUGCAGAUUGAAAGCUCUCAACCCGAACAGCAAACUUGCUGGUUUCUUCCAUGGGAAGUUGUACUAUGAGCCAUCUAACAUGGCGUGAACGCAUUAUUCUAAAGGGUUUAUAUAAUGAGUCAUUAUUGUCUGGGCUGCUACAAAGAGUCAGUACUCAUGUAAGUGGGUCAUGGUUUCAUACAGCCAUGUUCUAAGGAAGUAAGAUGUGGAUAACAAAAGAAAACAAGCCUCGGAUCCAAUACAUGCGAUUGAAGCCCCAAAUAUGGCAUCCUACAGCAAGAAUGAUAAAGAAGGUGCCGGAGGGACAUGUCCUGGCAGGUGGCAAGAUAGUUGCUCGUUCUGUCACUAAAUUGCAGCAUAUUUUUCUUAUUGAAGGAAAAAAGAGAAGUUUGGAUCAUUGCAGGAGGCUCAGUACUCUCACUUAUUUUGACGUCCACCAGAAAACUUGCCAAACAGAAUCAUGUAUGUUGACACGUACUUCACGGAAAGAGAUGUCUAGGAUAUGAAGGUCGAGGUCAUCAUACAUUUCUGAUUGAUUGAAGAACCAGAAUAUCAUACCUCGUAUGAAGGUCGAGGUCGGCUGCUGCAGGUCGCGGUCUUCAGGGCGAUUGUCACUUCGACUUGCGUACAGGCUAGGUGGCGCGUGGGUCAGUUACGGCGCAUGGCAGUCCUGGCAGCGCAUGGUUUAGGACGGCGUAUGACAGGCUGGGCGGCAGGCAGGCAGGAAAGAUCGUAUCGGCCUGGAGGCGGCGGGCGGCCUGGAGGCGGCGGUCGAGAAUGGCGCCGACGGGCAAUCAGUCACCGGCGCUUUGGAGUAGGUGAUCGUGAGAUCAAUCGUAGUAUUGCUUUGGAGUAGGUGAUCGUGAGAGUAAUUCAGAUUCUUGCUUUUUUUUUCUGGAGCGAUUUAGAGUAGGCGAUCCUGAGAGCAAUAAUACUCCACCGUUAAUUCAGCUAGUUGCUUUUUUUCCUAGAGCGAUCAGUCAAUCCACCGGUAAUUUAGGUUCUUUUUUUUUCUGCUGGUGGGCGUGGAUGUUUGGCGGAAGGAAGUUUUCGUCUGCUGGGGUGCGCUCCGCCGCGGUAAUCGCUGGAUGCACAAUUAGUUUUAAUUGGCUACAUCUGUGACGUUAGUUGUACAAAGUCCAAACGAUCCGACGGUUAUGGUUAAUUCAUGCACGAUUAGCUGGGUGUACGUAAGAAAGAUCAAGUUUGCUUGUUUAA
Molecule: long non-coding RNA, 1301 nt
Organism: Lolium perenne
Lineage: Eukaryota; Viridiplantae; Streptophyta; Magnoliopsida; Poales; Poaceae
Source: RefSeq, a predicted model, not a curated record